Aphis gossypii (cotton aphid) is the source of this 518-nucleotide long non-coding RNA. RefSeq lists it as uncharacterized. The transcript is spliced from 5 exons. The record is from RefSeq and is a predicted model, not a curated record. NCBI's taxonomy places the organism in Eukaryota, Metazoa, Arthropoda, Insecta, Hemiptera, Aphididae.
UAUUUUUUCAGAAAUCAGAAAAUAUUAUCAACAAAUUACAAAACAUCAUCAUGAUAUGAUUUGGGUACCUAUUUAUACAUACUCUCAAGAUCGUUCUAUACCAAUCUUAGUAUGCAGACAGAAGAGUCGUGACACGCGGUGGUAUUCAAUAUUAGAAUAAUAUGUGCGUGUAUGUCGAUCAACUCCUUACAUAUCAUUAUACACAUGUCGCAGCUAUACAGAACCAUUGAGAUUCGAGGUGCAUGUACAACUAUCGGCUAGCUAUCUACAAGGGCACAAGGCUAAAACCUACUGGCUACUUCAUAAAAGGGAGUUGGUACAUUGACACAUUGCACCAAAAUAAAGAUACGUAAUUCGCCACUACAGGAUCGAACUGGGGACCUUCUGCGUGUUAGGCAGAUGUGAUAACCGCUACACCACGGAAACAGUUGAUGUCAUUCAAAGAAUCGAUUGCACCUAAUUGUUCGUCUUAAAAAAAAAAAAAAAAUGUUUUAUGACAAAUUGGAUAAAAACAACGA